Molecule: ribosomal RNA, 478 nt
Filed under: uncultured bacterium
Lineage: Bacteria
Description: partial 16S ribosomal RNA
Rfam family: Bacterial small subunit ribosomal RNA
Source: RNAcentral
GACGAACGCUGGCGGCGUGCUUAACACAUGCAAGUCGAGCGAUGAAGUUCCUUCGGGAGUGGAUUAGCGGCGGACGGGUGAGUAACACGUGGGUAACCUGCCUCGUAGAGGGGAAUAGCCUUCCGAAAGGAAGAUUAAUACCGCAUAAGAUUGUAGCUUCGCAUGAAGCAGCAAUUAAAGGAGCAAUCCGCUAUGAGAUGGACCCGCGGCGCAUUAGCUAGUUGGUGAGGUAACGGCUCACCAAGGCGACGAUGCGUAGCCGACCUGAGAGGGUGAUCGGCCACAUUGGGACUGAGACACGGCCCAGACUCCUACGGGAGACAGCAGUGGGGAAUAUUGCACAAUGGGGGAAACCCUGAUGCAGCAACGCCGCGUGAGUGAUGACGGUCUUCGGAUUGUAAAACUCUGUCUUUAGGGACGAUAAUGACGGUACCUGAGGAGGAAGCCACGGCUAACUACGUGCCAGCCGCCGCCGUAA